AAGUCGUAACAAGGUCUCCGUAGGUGAACCUGCGGAGGGAUCAUUACAAGAACGCCCGGGCUUCGGCCUGGUUAUUCAUAACCCUUUGUUGUCCGACUCUGUUGCCUCCGGGGCGACCCUGCCUUCGGGCGGGGGCUCCGGGUGGACACUUCAAACUCUUGCGUAACUUUGCAGUCUGAGUAAACUUAAUCAAUAAAUUAAAACUUUUAACAACGGAUCUCUUGGUUCUGGCAUCGAUGAAGAACGCAGCGAAAUGCGAUAAGUAAUGUGAAUUGCAGAAUUCAGUGAAUCAUCGAAUCUUUGAACGCACAUUGCGCCCCCUGGUAUUCCGGGGGGCAUGCCUGUUCGAGCGUCAUUUCACCACUCAAGCCUCGCUUGGUAUUGGGCAACGCGGUCCGCCGCGUGCCUCAAAUCGUCCGGCUGGGUCUUCUGUCCCCUAAGCGUUGUGGAAACUAUUCGCUAAAGGGUGUUCGGGAGGCUACGCCGUAAAACAACCCCAUUUCUAAGGUUGACCUCGGAUCAGGUAGGGAUACCCGCUGAACUUAAGCAUAUCAAUAAGCGGAGGAAAAGAAACCAACAGGGAUUGCUCUAGUAACGGCGAGUGAAGCAGCAAUAGCUCAAAUUUGAAAUCUGGCGUCUUCGACGUCCGAGUUGUAAUUUGUAGAGGAUGCUUCUGAGUGGCCACCGACCUAAGUUCCUUGGAACAGGACGUCAUAGAGGGUGAGAAUCCCGUAUGCGGUCGGAAAGGCGCUCUAUACGUAGCUCCUUCGAC
RNAcentral lists this small RNA (772 nucleotides) under uncultured Davidiella. RNAcentral's name for it is "eukaryotic LSU rRNA". The stretch from base 510 to 772 matches the Rfam family "Eukaryotic large subunit ribosomal RNA", at positions 1 to 261 of the family's 3401-position model. The record is from RNAcentral. Lineage: Eukaryota; Fungi; Ascomycota; Dothideomycetes; Cladosporiales; Cladosporiaceae.